CCGGCGCUCCCGCGGGCAGAGCGCGUGCGGACGCCGAGCACAUGGGCCCUCGGGCCGGGAGGGCGCUCCGGGCGGCCCGGGUUCCGAGGGGCCGCGAGGGGCCGCGGGCGAGGAUGGGCCCCGGCCCCCGCGAGCGGCCCCCGAGUGGAUCUCCACGCGGGAAGGAUGUCGGCGGCUCCGGUGACAACGGCUGGGAGCCCCCUUCCAGUCUGAUCAUUUUUGACUAGAAAGGAAUCAGCAAGAUGCCCCUCGUGAUGGCCGCACCUGUCAGCUUCAUGCAAGGAUUUUCCGAGCCGUGUGGAUUUACAGUGAUCUUCAGCCGCCUGGGGAAUGAUGCUGGUGGAAGCAUUAUUCUGGAAUUGCACAUACCCGGCACAUUUCUGGAUGCUAAAGGUGAUUUUAAGGAAGGCCCUGGCCCAGUGCCUCAUGGAUUCCUGCAGCCUGGAUGCCCUCUGGGGACGGAGGACCACCGAUUCCUGUGAAUGCUGAGCUCUCUGUCCUCCGCUUGGACAGGAAUGUUUGGUUGGGUCUCUCCAGCUCGCUCUCCGGCUCCCUGUCAAACGAUCCUGUUAUACCUGGGCUUUAGGUGCUUUUAAUCUGGAGGAAAAAAUAUAUAUAUAUAUCCAUUCAGCAUUCGAAGUGGGCAUUGAGAACUACCUUUCCCUGAAGUAAAGCUGCAAUAUCUUGAGAGUUGGAGAAAUAAGAAGGACCGAACAGCAGGCUCCCAGAUUCCGAAGCCCCAAUGAGAGGACCGCCCAGGAACCACUGAAGGCUGAGUGCCCCACGAUGGCAAAGUUGAGGUUCAAAGUGUUCAAUGGAUUGACAGAUCAGAUGGUCCGAAAGCUGCAGAACCAGUAUUGAAACCAUGUGCCUGGACUCCAAGCCCAGGGUUCUUUCAGCAUCGCAUUCGGAAUCUGAGUCAGCCCAACAUCUGUGAAGUAGAUGUGUGGUAAAAGAAGAGGGGACACCGUGCAGGAGAGGUUUGGGGAGAAGACAAUAGCAGAGGUGUCUUGUGGUUCUUUUGGAACUUUCAGUUUUACUUCAAAACCCGAGACCCCUGAGUUUCAUAGAAGGGGUGAAGUUGCAGUGUGUGAGAUAAGGGAGGGGACAGCUUGAGGAAAGGAGCUCAUGACCUCAGGUUUGCAAAACCCACAAUUGUACAAUAGCUCAGCUCUAGCCAACACCCUGAGGGGAUGCAAAAAAGACCUAGGAGAGUGUGUAGCCACCAGAGUCCCCAUUCUAGUUUCACAUCGUACCUGAAGGGCUCCCACUGCUUAAGCACUAAGCCCUAUCUUGUGAUUUCUUAACCCGUCACCGCCCCUCUUCAGGUCUCGUCUCUGCAGACUGAGACUCUAUUAACAUUUCAAUUUUGCUCAUGGUCGGGGACGAUCUCAAGUUUUGAUUUUGAGAACCUAGAAUGUUCUUGGCUUCCUGGAAUCACUAUCCAAGCCUUCUUGCUGUGAAGGAAGAAGAAUGGUGCUCUGGAAGCUUCAGUGAACGAAGCGCGAUGGUAAAUGAAGAGCUAAGAACACUGGGAGUUCUGGCCUGUUGUUCAAAUGAGACACCAUCCUUCCAGCUCCUCUCCACAUGUUCACUGGAGCGAUUUACCAAAAAUGCAUGUGCGACGAGGCUGCCUAACCCUUUCUGUGGCCUCAGGGUACUCUGUGUGGCACGCAAGACCCCCCACAACCUGGCCUUUGGUCUGCCAUUUUGUUUUCAGCAGCACUGACCUUCCUGUGGGUCUGUGCACAGAGCCAUUCUGUUUUUUCACCCAGUUCCUACUUCCUGGAAUGCACUUCCUCUUCUUUCACCAUGGUGAAUCCCAUGUUGCUGAAUUUCGUGCCCCCUCUCUCUAUGUAAAUAACUCUAAAAUUCUAUCAUCUGUGACAGUUUCUGAAAUAUUCUUGGCCAUUUUCAGUCAAAUGCUAGAGCUUUAUCUUAAAUCUACGACUCCCAUCUAGGAUCAAUGUUACUUCCCCCAGUGGUAUGUUCCAGAUCGCUGGACACUGGCUCCACGAUGCCUUAUCAGUGAAGCAGGACCAUCAGUUCAUUAGACAUAGAAUCUAGAGAGGACCCCACUGCUCAUUUUGCCCAGCUGCAAAUGAUCUGGAUGGCAUAGACGGUUUUCUCCAGUCCUGCACUUAGGAUACUUACUUCAAUAUUGGCAGCAAUAAAAUGGUGGGUAAGAAAUUGCACAUUUGUCAGAAGGAGGCGGCCUGAUAGAAGUGUGUAAACAUGGUACUCAUCUCAAAAUUCAAUUACCAUAUGUACACGGUUUGGCUUGUCAUUUAUGUACUUGUAUAUUUAUAUACCCAUCAUCCUUAAUCACCUACAAGAAUGAACGAGUGCAUUUAAGAACACAUGUUUGCAACAUAAGCUAAUGGUUAAUUGAACAUUUCUUCUUGGAGGAGGAAGCUGAAUGACAACCAGAGAAGACACAGGUUUUUGAAAACAGCAGCGAGGCUUGCUAACACACAGUUUAGUUUUAGCUCACCCUGAAGGAAAUUCCUGGUGAGGUGACCUGAACGUUAUUCUUUUGAAAGCCUGCCAUACUCAGCACAGAGAGAGAGCUCAGCUUACCAGUUUAGCAUCAGGAAACUGGGGGCCAACUCCUUGCCUCGCCUUUUUUGGGUGUCUGUUCAUAAGAAAUUCAUGUAACUUCUCCAAGCCUCUGUUUCCUCAUAAUCUGGGAAUAAUGCAGCAAGCUUGCUAGUAGAUUUGAAAAACACAAGAUGCAUGAACUUACUUUCAGGUGCUAAUUAAAUCUCAUUUGAAUUAAUAUGUUAUUUUCCUACCUCCACCUGCAUCUCAUAAAGGUCAAGGUCAUAGAGUCCAGACACACUCCUGCUCCUACUAGUGCUACUAUUACAACAUCUACUGCUAACAAUAGCGGAUAUUUAUCGAGAGUUUACUAUGUCUGCACUGUUUUAGCAUUUCACAUGAACGCACCAUGUAUGCCUCGGAAAACCCCUAUGAAGUAGUUACCAAUAUUGUUCCCACUUUAUGUACAAGAACUUGGAGACUCAGAGAAGUUAAGUAACUUGCCUGAGAUCAUACAGCCGGUCAUUCAUUGAGCGGCUUGGAUUUGACUCCAAGCUUGGACUCCAGAAUUCAAACAUUCACAAUCACACCCUAUCCCCUAAUAAUAAUAGUAAAAUUAUCUUAUGGUGGGAUAGUGCUUUGUUCUUUCAUGGAGAGAAUCUCACCUUGGCCUUCUAGCAGUCCUGUGAAAUAGGGGUUAUUAUCCUUAUCUUACAGGUGUGCAACAGGUAAAAAAGAUGAAGGGAUUUACCCAAGGUCACCCUGAUGCAGAACAGUAAAAUCAGAUGGUUGUCCCACUUUGGUGAGCACUACUAAGUUCUCCCAUCCUGCUUCUGGCUCUACCCUGCUUUUGUUCACACCUCCCCCACUGAUGACUCCUUCUACAAGGACCCCAACUGAGUCCUCUUAAUUUGUUUUGAGAAUUUCCCCCAGUUCUGUCAUUCUCUGUACCACUGUCUGUGACUCGUGUGACUAAUUUUUUCUACUUGCAUUCCAUGGUUCUGCAGAGCUUAGAAUAAGCUACCAUGAACCUCUAGCUCAGAACUCAUUGGCAUUUAAGGAAGGCACUCUGGGAGGACCAUCUGAAAUGAACUCAACCUCUGAUGUCAAGGUCACCUGCUCCCCAGGUGCUGAGCUCACCACGUAUGCAUUCUUCAUCUGAAGGAAGUACCGGUCACCCUUAAGCAGAGCAUCUGCCAUGUCACUGCUCUCUAGGGUGCUCUUUUCUAUGGUCUGCAGUUGUGAGUGCUCCAUAACCUGGCCUGCUGAACCUGUCUAAAAAUCCUGCCUGCUGUCUCUCAGUGUUGUCAUUUUCCUCUGGGCUGUCAUAGCACCCUAUGCUUUGGAUGUUCCUUUAACUAAAACUGUUCUCUCCCAAUUUAUGGCUUUGCUAACAUAGUCUCAGCCUAGAUAGCCUUCCCACAAGAACCUUCCCUGACUCCCUAAACCACUCCUGUGCUCUGCUCUGCUCUCCAUCUCAUGCAAUCUCUUUUUGAAAAAACUCUGCUCCUUCUUAGCAUUUUUCACAUUGUCUUGAGACUGCCUGUUAAGCUGUCCGUCUGCUGCAAUAUGUGAUGAGCUCUUUGAGGUCAGUGUCUUCCAGUAUCCUACAAUGCCUGCCCAUAGUAGGAGCUCAAUGAAUAGCUGUUGAUUAAAUGUUUACUUCUGUCUCUGAAGUCAGCAAAUAUUUUAAGAGGAUCGCUUUACUAAUGCCCCUGCCUUCUAGACUGUGAGUUUCCUGAAGGCAGACGUUCUGCUUAUUCAGCACUGUAUCCUCAGUGCCUGGCUUGGACGAGGCACUCUGUAAAUGCAUCAUGGACAAUUUUGAAAAGCAAUACAAAUAAUAGAUAGAUAGAUAGAUAGAUAGAUAGAUAGAUAGAUAGAUAGAUAGAUAAAGCACCCAUAUUUCCAAUCCACUGCUAAAGACAAUCGUUGCUAACAUUUUGGUACAUGGCUUUCCAAUCUAUAGCAAGCAGCCUCUAGCAUGACUCCCCGUGAUCCCCCUCACACACACACACACCUCUAGCUAUUCACAGUCUUGUGUCAUCUCCUCCUCUUGAAUGAGGGCUGAAUUCAGUGACCCACUUCAAAUGAAUAGAACAAAGCAGAAGUGAUUGACUGCAGCUUCUGAGAUUAGGUUAUAAAAAGACUGUGGCUUCCAUCUUGGCAUUCUUUCUCUGAGAUCCCUCACCCUGGGAGAGGCUAACUGCCAUGCAGUGGGCAGACCUAUUGAGAAAUCCAUGUGGUAACAUAACUGAAGACACUGAUCAACAGCCAGCAAAGACCUGAGACCUGCCAACAGCCACAUGGGUGAGUCUGGAAGCAGCUCCUCCCCAGUUGAGCAUGGUGAUGGCUACCCCAGUCAACACACUGAUUCUGGCUAUGUGAGAAAGAGAGAGCAAGUGGCACCAGCUAAGCUGUGUCUGGAUUCCCGACCCAGCAUCCCUGGGAUAAUAAAUAUUGAGCUGUCAGAAAAGUCAUGACAUAUUUUUUCUACGUUUUUCGUUGCAAAAAUGCAUCAUGAUUUUUUGGACAACCCAAUAUUUGUUGUUUUAAGGUGCUAAUUUGAUACAUAGCAAUAGGUAAAUAAUAUGCAAUCCUAUAUACAGUUAUAUAAAUAUGGUUUAUCUGUUUUACUGUUUAUCAUAGAUCAAAAUUUAAUUUAUUGAGUGAAACAAACUGAUAAAUCAUGCUUGUGUGUAAGUCUUCUUUGAAAAAACUUUUUAAAAAAUGUGAAAUAUAGCCACAUACAGAAAAUACACAAGGCAUAUAUAUGCAGCUAAAAAAAUCAUAACAUGCACCCUUGUUCCAAUUUUAGUAUAUUAUAUUUUUAAAUAAAUCAGGGCAUAUGUAAAACUAGUAACUAUUUUUUUCUUCAAAGAGAAGAUUUUUAAAAAGCUAAAUAGAUGUACCAUUUUAGGAUGGUUUAGAGUCUCUGAAUCAGUCUGAAAUGUUGCCAUAUACUUUUCUUUAACCACUGAAGGAAGAAAUUCUUAGUCAAAGUUAGUCAUCAGGAGGAAGUCUAGGAAUUGUGCCACAGUGGAGUAUAUACAAUGUGUGGGCCAGAGUGGGGCCUCAGUAUGACACUGAUAAAUGGAUGGAUGGACUUGGAAUUCAAAACAUGGAUUGCAGCUCCUUCUCAGCCACUUGGAAGUAUGUGGUGUCAUCACUUAACAUGUAGGAGCAGUGAUUUUAUUAUCUUUAAAAUGGGAACAUACUCAUGAAGUUGUGAGGUUUAAAGAAAGUGGCAUUGUGUUUAUAAUGCCCUUGCAGAGCACUUGGCACAUAGCAAGCUCUCAAUACAUCAGUUACAAUUGAGCAAUAAUUCUGAUUUCAGGACACCAUCAAAUAGUGAUUUAUCACUAUAUAAAGCUUAAGUAAAUAUAUAUUUAACUUAAUAACUUUAUUUCUUAUUAAUUGCUAAAUGCUCAUAAUAAAGUAAAUUUUACAAAUAUUUUUAAAGGACAAAGAAGUAAGCAGAAACUCACUCCAAAAUUUCACCUGUAAGAAAUGACUAACAUCAACCUGUGGUGGACAUCAUUCCAAAUGUCCCUUGUGUAUAGACAGAUAGAUUGCGAUGGUGGAAGGCUAUUUAGGUAGGUAAAUAGCUACCUAACUAAUUAGAGAUCAUACUGGACAUACUGAAUAAAAGAAGAACAAUUACUUAAUUUCCCUUGAACGUAACCAAAGAAAAAUAAACUGAAGUGAAACUAACGGAAUUGCUGAAAUUUACAUCAUGUUUUUUUCUCCAUUGCCAGUGAUAGCAUUUCCUCAAAUAUCUCCCUAAGUGAGAUUAAGUAAAAACUUAAUGAAACCAAAUAAGUUGGAGUCAUUUUCCCCCCCUUUUAACUUAUAUCUUUCCAUUUUUCGGGCUGUACUAAUUAAUCUCCUACUAUGAAGAUGAAGUGAUUCAUACUCUUCUUUCAC
This is an RNA transcript of Hipposideros armiger (great roundleaf bat), 6468 nucleotides long. RefSeq lists it as uncharacterized. The transcript has 5 exons. The record is from RefSeq and is a predicted model, not a curated record. Lineage: Eukaryota; Metazoa; Chordata; Mammalia; Chiroptera; Hipposideridae.